CUAAAAAUGAAAACUUCCCCACUCCAUCGGUAACUCAACUCACAGUGUCCCACCCUCCCUCAGUCUCACAUCCCUCUCCUUAAACUCUUCAUCUUCUACGCAAAACCGAUCCAAGCACUCAUUGCAUUCAUCUGAAUGUCGAUUUCAAGUACGAAAAUCACAGCUAAUUUUGACCUUUUAAAUCCCCAAAUCCAAUCACUAUCCUCAUUCCUUUCUCUUGGGUUUUGGUUGACCUCGAUUGUAAGCAAUAAAUUUAAGGUUUCCAAAGUUCAAAUUCAAGUUAAGAUUAUGUUGCUUCUUUCUCUUGUCCAUCCUAUAUUCCUAUUGUUUCGGGCUUGAAAACCGAGCUUAAUUAUGGAGAUGAAUUAUGCGCCUGUAUUUCAUCUGACGGCUCUCCCAAGCCUCUUUCCAUGGAUUCUGCAGCAGGGGGGCUGACAAGCACUUGCUACUGUAGAAUCUAAGGCCCCUUAGAUUGACAGUUUGUAGGAGGUGAGCAAAGGACGACAACGUAAGAGCCCCAGUCUUGUGGCAUAUGCAAAUAUAGCUUUUAUUAUUCAAGAGGUGGAUAUGGUGGAUGGAUUGAAUUGUACCCGCAAGUAGUUUUGGCAACUAAAUUCUAAUUAUGGUUGCUGUUAAGUAAGCCAUUUUCUUAUUAUCUACGUUUGUGCUAUCUGCCAGAUAUGUAAAGCAAAUUUUCAGAUGGAAAAUAUAUGAUGGUGUGAUGGAGAAAUAUUUAUUCUACUC
Spinacia oleracea (spinach) is the source of this 744-nucleotide long non-coding RNA. RefSeq lists it as uncharacterized. The transcript is spliced from 3 exons. NCBI's taxonomy places the organism in Eukaryota, Viridiplantae, Streptophyta, Magnoliopsida, Caryophyllales, Amaranthaceae. The record is from RefSeq and is a predicted model, not a curated record.